RNAcentral lists this small nuclear RNA (62 nucleotides) under Otolemur garnettii (small-eared galago). Its description in RNAcentral is "U7 small nuclear RNA (ENSOGAG00000023447.1)". Lineage: Eukaryota; Metazoa; Chordata; Mammalia; Primates; Galagidae. The record is from RNAcentral.
UAAUGUUGCAGUUCUUUUAAAAUUUGUCUGGCACAUUUUCCAUUCCUUACCAGAAGACCCUC